Molecule: long non-coding RNA, 939 nt
Organism: Eutrema salsugineum
Lineage: Eukaryota; Viridiplantae; Streptophyta; Magnoliopsida; Brassicales; Brassicaceae
Exons: 3
Source: RefSeq, a predicted model, not a curated record
AGGAGCACACACGUCUGAUGGUUCGAAUGACAGUAAAUCAAUGACUUGAGAAAACUUUUGACGAUCUUCAUAAGAUGCAUCCAUUAGACUCCACAGAUCUGAUAAAGCUCUACCAAGAUGGUGAAUCUGCCAUUAGUAAGAUGUCUUAAAAGAUCGGACCUGCUUCACUCUCUCGUCUUUCCUCAGCCUCAUCUCACGCAGUGCAGGCGCAAUAGAAUCGAGCUGCUCUCUCAGUGUUCCUCCCUUUUUCUCCGGCUGUAUAGAGAAUGACAACAACAUUAUCUAUGAUAGUUUAGUCUUGGCUUUGAAUAUCAGCAUUCACAUAGUACAGACACCGUCUAGAGAAUCACUGUUUAAUGCAUGUUCGAAUAAUCUUUGCUUAACAAUGGAUAUUAAAGAAUGAAAAUUACCCUUCCAGGUACUGAUCUUUCACCGAGGCAUAGAAGAAGAUGAGUGAGUUCAGCUUCAGAUUCCGCCAGCUCUUGAUGUAGACGAGACCUUGAAAUAUUGGCAUGGUCAACUUUUCUCCGGACGUAUCUAACAACGAGGAGCUUCUCAUUCCUAUCGGUGUCUGAAGGGAACCCAUCUUCUGAUAGAUGAUUCUCCAAUGUUGGGAUUGAGGGAAUUGAGGUGUGAGAGCUUUGUGCUAUUGGUGCUGGUUUUGCUUUGAAGACAAGGGUGAAAGUGACACAUAUUCUGCUGCAAAAGCUUCCUGUUUAAGUGAUGGCUCAUCCGCAUCUCCCUCCUCUUCUUUGAUUCUUCAGUUUAGGUCUCUUUCUCUUUCUCUUUCUCAACUUAAUUUUAUUUAUAUAAAUAUGGUAAGGUUUAGGAGUCGCUUUUGUGCUGAUGCGUUUGCUUCUGCUGUAUGAAAAGCCAGAGAGAGAUGUUUUUGUUUAUAUGACAGAAAACUUGAUUCCUAAGCAAGCUCUGGUGCUUUUU